This 212-nucleotide long non-coding RNA is filed under the name Amborella trichopoda. RNAcentral's name for it is "long non-coding RNA (ATRI_LNC003538)". Lineage: Eukaryota; Viridiplantae; Streptophyta; Magnoliopsida; Amborellales; Amborellaceae. The record is from RNAcentral.
CUCCAACCAAUUUGUUUAUCACAACUUUUAUCUCAAAACAUACUUUUCAAGCAAAUAACCCUUCCUUUUGGUAAAAAAAGUCAUAUUUAUUUGGACCAAAAUACCCUUUGUCUGUAUAAGCUCGCGUCACAUCUUCACAAGAUACACAAUGACCAAAAGUUAAUUGCCAGACCGGUACAAUAAAACCACUGCUGGACCCCAAUGCGCAGCUG